RNAcentral lists this ribosomal RNA (479 nucleotides) under uncultured bacterium. RNAcentral's name for it is "partial 16S ribosomal RNA". It matches the Rfam family "Bacterial small subunit ribosomal RNA", at positions 28 to 523 of the family's 1533-position model. The record is from RNAcentral.
GACGAACGCUGGCGGCGUGCUUAACACAUGCAAGUCGAACGGAAAGGCCCUGCUUGCAGGGUACUCGAGUGGCGAACGGGUGAGUAACACGUGGGUGAUCUGCCCUGCACUUCGGGAUAAGCCUGGGAAACUGGGUCUAAUACCGGAUAGGACCAUCGUUUAGUGUCGGUGGUGGAAAGUUUUUCGGUGCAGGAUGAGCUCGCGGCCUAUCAGCUUGUUGGUGGGGUAAUGGCCUACCAAGGCGUUGACGGGUAGCCGGCCUGAGAGGGUGGACGGCCACAUUGGGACUGAGACACGGCCCAGACUCCUACGGGAGGCAGCAGUGGGGAAUAUUGCACAAUGGGCGCAAGCCUGAUGCAGCGACGCCGCGUGGGGGAUGACGGCCUUCGGGUUGUAAACUCCUUUCAACCAUGACGAAGCUUUUGUGACGGUAGUGGUAGAAGAAGCACCGGCUAACUACGUGCCAGCCGCCGCCGUAA